UCUGUUGGCUGACACAGUGUGAGGGUCUGUUACUGACACAGAGUGAGGGUCUGUUAUUGGACACAGAGUGAGGGUCUGUUAUUGACACAGUGUGAGGGUCUGUUAUUGACACAGUGUGAGGGUCUGUUAUUGACACAGUGUGAGGGUCUGUUACUGACACUGUGAGGUCUGUUAUUGACACAGAGUGAGGGUCUGUUAUUGACACAGUGUGAGGGUCUGUUACUGACACAGUGUGAGGGUCUGUUAUUGACACAGAGUGAGGGUCUGUUAUUGACACAGUGUGAGGGUCUGUUACUGACACAGUGUGAGGGU
This 312-nucleotide long non-coding RNA is filed under the name Homarus americanus (American lobster). Its description in RNAcentral is "uncharacterized LOC121862478, transcript variant X5". The record is from RNAcentral. Lineage: Eukaryota; Metazoa; Arthropoda; Malacostraca; Decapoda; Nephropidae.